AGAGUUUGAUCCUGGCUCAGGACGAACGCUGGCGGUGUGCUUCACACAUGCAAGUCGAACGGGGUAGCAAUACCCAGUGGCGGACGGGUGAGUAACACGUGGGAAUCUACCAUAAGGUGGGGGAUAGCAGACCGAAAGGUCUAUUAAUACCGCAUAUGUAGGCAUCUCGACAGAGAUGUUUAUGAAAGGAGUAAUCCGCCUUUUGAUGAGCCCGCGUCCGAUUAGCUAGUUGGUAGGGUAAAAGCCUACCAAGGCGACGAUCGGUAGGUGGUCUGAGAGGAUGAUCACCCACAAUGGGACUGAGACACGGCCCAUACUCCUACGGGAGGCAGCAGUGGGGAAUUUUACGCAAUGGGGGAAACCCUGACGUAGCGACACCGCGUGAGCGAAGAAGCCCUUUGGGGUGUAAAGCUCUGUCAACGGGAACGAAAUCAAUGACGGUACCCGUGGAGGAAGCAUCGGCUAACUACGUGCCAGCAGCCGCGGUAAGACGUAGGAUGCAAGCGUUGUCCGGAUUUAUUGGGCGUAAAGAGUUCGUAGGCUGUUUGUUAAGUCUGAUGUUAAAGACUGGGGCUCAACCUCGGAAAUGCAUUGGAUACUGGCAGACUGGAGUGCAGUAGAGGCUAGUGGAAUUCCCAGUGUAGCGGUGAAAUGCGUAGAUAUUGGGAAGAACACCGGUGGCGUAGGCGACUAGCUGGGCUGUAACUGACGCUGAGGAACGAAAGCCAGGGGAGCGAAGGGAUUAGAUACCCUGGUAGUCC
This 761-nucleotide ribosomal RNA is filed under the name uncultured prokaryote. Its description in RNAcentral is "bacterial SSU rRNA". It matches the Rfam family "Bacterial small subunit ribosomal RNA", at positions 8 to 796 of the family's 1533-position model. The record is from RNAcentral.